UAUCUUUGAUGCAAAAAGUAUCAAUGUCAAACAUUUUUUUUUAAAUGAAUAUAAUAUAUUAGGUACAAUAAUUAUAGGUUUUUGGAAAUUUUUAAUGCCUUCAUUUUUUUUAAAAAUUACAAUUGUUGAUAAAGGAUAACUUAAAAAUUUAAUUUCUCAAUAUUUUCUUUUUUUUGACAUUGGCUCUUUUUACACCAACCCACAGUUAUUAUAUACAGGCAAUUGCAAAUUCCACCAAUUUAUAGGUAAUCGAUAUUAGGAUUGGAUUAAUAACAUGUAAAUUCCACCAGUACUUUUUACUAUCUGCCAAAAAAAUGUCAAUUCCACUGGUUAGGAAAAUAUUGGCGCCUCUCCCAAUAAAUUAUGACCAUUUCAUUAAAUCAAGAGCCUAAAAUUUUGAAUUCUGGUGUAGAAAAGUGGCAUUGUGAAAACAAAAAGUGUUCCGUCGUUUUAAAAACUAUUAAUUCUGGAAAUAAUCAAAUUAUAACUUUCCAACAAACACUGCAUAAUCAUAAUGCAUUAACCAAAAAUACACUUCAUUCGAUGCAAAAUUAAAGACAACAGAGCAUAAUUGUAAAGCACCACUUUUUCCUAACUGGAGGAAUGUACAUUUAUUUUUAGGUAGUAAAAAGUACUGGUGGAAUUUAUAUAAAAAAG
This is a non-coding RNA of Cinara cedri, 657 nucleotides long. Lineage: Eukaryota; Metazoa; Arthropoda; Insecta; Hemiptera; Aphididae. The record is from the annotation of a GenBank genome assembly.